GGUGCGAAAGCAGGUCAUAGUGAUCCGGUGGUUCUGAAUGGAAGGGCCAUCGCUCAACGGAUAAAAGGUACUCCGGGGAUAACAGGCUGAUACCGCCCAAGAGUUCAUAUCGACGGCGGUGUUUGGCACCUCGAUGUCGGCUCAUCACAUCCUGGGGCUGAAGUAGGUCCCAAGGGUAUGGCUGUUCGCCAUUUAAAGUGGUACGCGAGCUGGGUUUAGAACGUCGUGAGACAGUUCGGUCCCUAUCUGCCGUGGGCGCUGGAGAACUGAGGGGGGCUGCUCCUAGUACGAGAGGACCGGAGUGGACGCAUCACUGGUGUUCGGGUUGUCAUGCCAAUGGCACUGCCCGGUAGCUAAAUGCGGAAGAGAUAAGUGCUGAAAGCAUCUAAGCACGAAACUUGCCCCGAGAUGAGUUCUCCCUGACCCUUUAAGGGUCCUGAAGGAACGUUGAAGA
This 454-nucleotide ribosomal RNA is filed under the name Shigella flexneri. Its description in RNAcentral is "partial 23S ribosomal RNA". It matches the Rfam family "Bacterial large subunit ribosomal RNA", at positions 2396 to 2844 of the family's 2925-position model. Lineage: Bacteria; Pseudomonadati; Pseudomonadota; Gammaproteobacteria; Enterobacterales; Enterobacteriaceae. The record is from RNAcentral.